Molecule: non-coding RNA, 169 nt
Filed under: Oryctolagus cuniculus (rabbit)
Lineage: Eukaryota; Metazoa; Chordata; Mammalia; Lagomorpha; Leporidae
Description: Eukaryotic large subunit ribosomal RNA
Rfam family: Eukaryotic large subunit ribosomal RNA
Source: Rfam by way of RNAcentral
UUUCCCUCAGGAUAGCUGGCGCUCUCGCAACCCUGCAGUUUUAUCCGGUAAAGCGAAUGAUUAGAGGUCUUGGGGCCGAAAAUGAUCUCAACCUAUGCUCAAACAUUAAUAACUCUUAAUUGAAAGAUAAGUUUAAAAAAAUUAAAAUUUUUACCAAACGCAAUCUUCU